Long non-coding RNA from Leopardus geoffroyi (Geoffroy's cat), 466 nucleotides. RefSeq lists it as uncharacterized. NCBI's taxonomy places the organism in Eukaryota, Metazoa, Chordata, Mammalia, Carnivora, Felidae. The transcript is spliced from 3 exons. The record is from RefSeq and is a predicted model, not a curated record.
CUGCAGGGAAAUUUAUUUCAAAACAGUCGGCUACCUCACAAUUUUUCCAGGAUGGAAAGGAGAGCAGAUGAUAUGAGGCAGACACUAUCUCCAAUCUUCAAAAACUGUUCGUUAUACAAAUAUCCUUGAAAAGAUAGUGUGGAAUAAAGGAAAACCAGUUCCCUGUUGACAAGAGGUGCAGAAACAGAGGUUCCAGAAGAAUUGACUCCCAGUGAAAAGUGGAAAUUUUCCUUCACUUACAUUUGUCUGAACUCUUUUGGGUAUGUUAAAAAGUGAUUUAAGGAAGAGCAACAAGAACACUGAUUUUGGACCUUCACAAGGAAUCCCUUUUUCCUAGAUGGUAUGUUGUCUGAAUGAAGAAACCCCGCAAAGUGUGGGGAGCCCCCAAGACCACGGCUCCAAGGAGUUUCUAAAUUUGAUGCUACUCUAUGGUUUCCAGAAAUUCAUUAAAGUUACCAGUUAAGUA